This 253-nucleotide ribosomal RNA is filed under the name uncultured bacterium. RNAcentral's name for it is "partial 16S ribosomal RNA". It matches the Rfam family "Bacterial small subunit ribosomal RNA", at positions 524 to 776 of the family's 1533-position model. The record is from RNAcentral.
UACGUGGGGUGCAAGCGUUGUUCGGAAUUACUGGGCGUAAAGCGCGUGUAGGCGGUCUGUUAUGUCAGGUGUGAAAGCCCUCGGCCUAACCGAGGAAGUGCGCCUGAAACUGGCAGACUUGAGUACGAGAGAGGAGGACGGAAUUCCCAGUGUAGAGGUGAAAUUCGUAGAUAUUGGGAGGAACACCGGCGGCGAAAGCGGUCCUCUGGAUCGAUACUGACGCUAAGACGCGAAAGCGUGGGUAGCAAACAGG